UAGAAGUCAGGUCGGAUUAAGCCAUAGUACGGAAAAAACUAUGCUACCUGUGAGCCCCGUCCAAGGACGUUAAAAGAAGUCAGGCCACUACAAGUGCCAUAGCUUGAGCAAACUAUGCAGCCUGUAGCUCCACCUGGGAAGGUGUAAAAAAUCUGGGAGGCCACAAACCAUGGAAGCUGUACGCAUGGCGUAGUGGACUAGCGGUUAGAGGAGACCCCUCCCUUGCAAGUCGCAGCAACAAUGGGGGCCCAAGGUGAGAUGA
This 262-nucleotide long non-coding RNA is filed under the name dengue virus type 2. Its description in RNAcentral is "Dengue virus 2 partial sfRNA1". The stretch from base 156 to 227 matches the Rfam family "Flavivirus DB element". Lineage: Riboviria; Orthornavirae; Kitrinoviricota; Flasuviricetes; Amarillovirales; Flaviviridae. The record is from RNAcentral.